This 598-nucleotide unclassified non-coding RNA is filed under the name Hevea brasiliensis (rubber tree). The record is from RNAcentral. Lineage: Eukaryota; Viridiplantae; Streptophyta; Magnoliopsida; Malpighiales; Euphorbiaceae.
UAUGGUCAUGAUGAUAAAAGAGAUGACUGAAUUGUGAAAGUUCAAUAUGCAAAACUUGUCGAGAAAAACAGAACCCUUUUUAUUUGAUCUGAUGCGUGUAAACUGAAACAAGACCAAAGCACAAAUGUUGUGAUUAAAUUAUAAAGGAAAAGCUGGCCUGUCUUUGCACAGUCUUUGUGGUGCAGUAGUAUGGGUUCAAUGACUUUUGAGUCAAUGCAAUUUACCUACUGAAAAUUUUAUAACUUUUGACACUGGAGACAAUGUAGUCUGUUCUUGGAGUGAAAGAAAUGAGAGAUUUUCUAAGUGCCAAGUUCUUUAUUCACCCCAAGUGUAAUUAUUUGUGUAUUAUAUUAUCAAUGAUCAACUGUAAGUGUUGAGAAUGGCUGAUAAAAGGGAAGAUCAUAAUUAUUACUACAUUUCUAAAUUUUUAUUUAUAUUGCUACAGCUAUUGUUCUAAUUUAAUCCAAAAUAAGAGUAGUUUCUUUCGUGUCUUCUCUUUUACUCUGUUAUCCUGAAUAUUUCUUUCCUUCUGCAACUCACAUCUGUGUAUUUGAAGCAGGAGCAAAACGAGUCGAUGCUAAUGGAUGGAGAGUUUGGA